Molecule: RNase P RNA, 327 nt
Filed under: Clostridiales bacterium
Lineage: Bacteria; Bacillati; Bacillota; Clostridia; Eubacteriales
Description: RNase P RNA component class A
Rfam family: Bacterial RNase P class A
About the family: Ribonuclease P (RNase P) is a ubiquitous endoribonuclease, found in archaea, bacteria and eukarya as well as chloroplasts and mitochondria. Its best characterised activity is the generation of mature 5'-ends of tRNAs by cleaving the 5'-leader elements of precursor-tRNAs.
Source: RNAcentral
UUAGUUGUCCAGAUUGACGCGUAAAAUUAUUUACGAGGAAAGUCCGAGCAUCAUAGAACAAGGUGCUGGUUAACUGCCAGUGGGGGUGACCCUAAGGAAAGUGCAACAGAAAAUAACCGCCAAUAAUAUUGGUAAGGGUGAAAAAGCGGGGUAAGAGCCCACUAACGAGUUUGGAGACUUACAAGUUGUGUAAACCCCACCUGAUGCAAGGUAAAAGACACAUAGGCUGUUCGUCUUGUCUUAUACACCGCUUGAACUUAUUAGUAAUAAUAAGUCUAGAUAGAUGUCAAUCUAAUACAGAACUCGGCUUAUAGAACAACUAACAAG